This 404-nucleotide ribosomal RNA is filed under the name uncultured bacterium. Its description in RNAcentral is "bacterial SSU rRNA". It matches the Rfam family "Bacterial small subunit ribosomal RNA", at positions 355 to 776 of the family's 1533-position model. The record is from RNAcentral.
UGAGGAAUCGUGCGCAAUGGGCGAAAGCCUGACGCCGCGACACCGCGUGAGGGAAGAAGCUCUUCGGAGUGUAAACCUCUUUUUUGUGGGACGAUUAUGACGGUACCAUAAGAAUAAGCCACGGCAAACUUCGUGCCAGCAGCCGCGGUAAUACGAGGGUGGCAAGCGUUAUCCGGAUUUAUUGGGCGUAAAGAGCGCGUAGGCGGUUUUAUAAGUCCUAACUUAAAUCCUAUUGCCCAACAAUAGGACCUGUCAGGAUACUGUAAAGCUUGUGGAUAGCAGGGGUAAGCGGAAUUCCCGGUGUAGGAGUAAAAUCCAUUGAUAUCGGGAGGAACACCAAUGGCGAAGGCAGCUUACUAGGCUAUUUCAGACGCUAAGGCGCGAAAGCGUGGGGAGCGAACGGG